Molecule: small nucleolar RNA, 96 nt
Organism: Nymphaea colorata (pocket water lily)
Lineage: Eukaryota; Viridiplantae; Streptophyta; Magnoliopsida; Nymphaeales; Nymphaeaceae
Product: small nucleolar RNA snoR31/Z110/Z27
Exons: 1
Source: RefSeq, a predicted model, not a curated record
UUCAUCAAAUGAUGAGAUCAGAAAAAUCUUAGGACACCUUCCUACACAGUUGGAUUCAACUGUGGAUGAGAAAGACUUUUCAUUUCUGAUGAUGAA